UGGGCGUAAGAGCUCGUAGGCGGUUUGUCGCGUCUGCCGUGAAAGUCCGGGGCUCAACUCCGGAUCUGCGGUGGGUACGGGCAGACUAGAGUGAUGUAGGGGAGACUGGAAUUCCUGGUGUAGCGGUGAAAUGCGCAGAUAUCAGGAGGAACACCGAUGGCGAAGGCAGGUCUCUGGGCAUUAACUGACGCUGAGGAGCGAAAGCAUGGGGAGCGAACAGGAUUAGAUACCCUGGUAGUCCAUGCCGUAAACGUUGGGCACUAGGUGUGGGGGACAUUCCACGUUUUCCGCGCCGUAGCUAACGCAUUAAGUGCCCCGCCUGGGGAGUACGGCCGCAAGGCUAAAACUCAAAGGAAUUGACGGGGGCCCGCACAAGCGGCGGAGCAUGCGGAUUAAUUCGAUGCAACGCGAAGAACCUUACCAAGGCUUGACAUGAACCGGAAAGACCUGGAAACAGGUCCCCCGCUUGCGGUCGGUUUACAGGUGGUGCAUGGUUGUCGUCAGCUCGUGUCGUGAGAUGUUGGGUUAAGUCCCGCAACGAGCGCAACCCUCGUUCUAUGUUGCCAGCGCGUUAUGGCGGGGACUCAUAGGAGACUGCCGGGGUCAACUCGGAGGAAGGUGGGGACGACGUCAAAUCAUCAUGCCCCUUAUGUCUUGGGCUUCACGCAUGCUACAAUGGCCGGUACAAAGGGUUGCGAUACUGUGAGGUGGAGCUAAUCCCAAAAAGCCGGUCUCAGUUCGGAUUGGGGUCUGCAACUCGACCCCAUGAAGUCGGAGUCGCUAGUAAUCGCAGAUCAGCAACGCUGCGGUGAAUACGUUCCGGGCCUUGUACACACCGCCCGUCAAGUCACGAAAGUUGGUACACCCGAAGCCGGUGGCCUACCCCUUGUGGGAGGGAGCUGUCGAAGGUGGGACUGGCGAUUGGGACGAAGUCGUACAGGG
RNAcentral lists this ribosomal RNA (942 nucleotides) under Arthrobacter sp. RNAcentral describes it as "bacterial SSU rRNA". It matches the Rfam family "Bacterial small subunit ribosomal RNA", at positions 555 to 1496 of the family's 1533-position model. The record is from RNAcentral. Lineage: Bacteria; Bacillati; Actinomycetota; Actinomycetes; Micrococcales; Micrococcaceae.